This is a long non-coding RNA of Xenopus laevis (African clawed frog), 226 nucleotides long. RefSeq lists it as uncharacterized. The transcript is spliced from 3 exons. The record is from RefSeq and is a predicted model, not a curated record. Lineage: Eukaryota; Metazoa; Chordata; Amphibia; Anura; Pipidae.
UUUUUUGUCCAUUUUACUUUAAUAGGUAUACAACCCAGGAUUUAAAAUUGACUCAGUGCUGUCUGAUCCAGUCUGCCUUUGAAUUUCAGUCAUUACGAAAAUAUUCCAAUAAAAUGGCAAUUUACUUGAAGGGGGGAAAAAAAGACUUCCCAGCAUGGUAUCCACUGAAAACUGACUGUAUUCUGACUACAAUGAGAAAAAAAGGCUUGAAUAUCGGCAAUGAAAC